GAUCUUUCAUAGGGAAGGGACUGAAGAUACAUUUUUGGAGCGCAUUUACCAAGUGUGACAUUGCUGACUAUUUGGCUGUGACAACUGAAGGAAGGAG
This 97-nucleotide long non-coding RNA is filed under the name Mustela putorius furo (domestic ferret). Its description in RNAcentral is "lncRNA (ENSMPUG00000027955.1)". Lineage: Eukaryota; Metazoa; Chordata; Mammalia; Carnivora; Mustelidae. The record is from RNAcentral.